RNAcentral lists this unclassified non-coding RNA (347 nucleotides) under soil metagenome. RNAcentral's name for it is "partial contains 5.8S ribosomal RNA, internal transcribed spacer 2, and large subunit ribosomal RNA". The stretch from base 1 to 120 matches the Rfam family "5.8S ribosomal RNA", at positions 35 to 154 of the family's 154-position model. The record is from RNAcentral.
GAUGAAGAACGCAGCGAAAUGCGAUAAGUAGUGUGAAUUGCAGAAUUCAGUGAAUCAUCGAGUCUUUGAACGCACAUUGCGCCCCCUGGUAUUCCGGGGGGCAUGCCUGUCCGAGCGUCAUUGCUGCCCUCAAGCACGGCUUGUGUGUUGGGCCCCGUCCUCCGAUCCCGGGGGACGGGCCCGAAAGGCAGCGGCGGCACCGCGUCCGGUCCUCGAGCGUAUGGGGCUUUGUCACCCGCUCUGUAGGCCCGGCCGGCGCUUGCCGAUCAACCCAAAUUUUUUAUCCAGGUUGACCUCGGAUCAGGUAGGGAUACCCGCUGAACUUAAGCAUAUCAAUAAGCGGAGGA